AACUUUGAGCGCUGACAGCAUUGUAGCCAAUGAGGUUUAUCUGAGGCACGAUUAUUGCUAAUUAAAAUCUUUCUGUUGAUGGUCAACUGUAAAAAGCAGAUGGGGGUGAGACUUCCCUGGUUAACCUUCUUAUGUAGUUUUGACCUUCAAAUUAUGAAACUGUAUUACCUAUUCA
Canis lupus familiaris (dog) is the source of this 175-nucleotide non-coding RNA. NCBI's taxonomy places the organism in Eukaryota, Metazoa, Chordata, Mammalia, Carnivora, Canidae. The record is from Rfam.